GGCAGAAACCACCAGCUAACUGGGGAAACAGAGGAGCUGAAACAAAAGCUUUUCUGACCUUGAGGGCAGCUCUGCAGAGAAGCAAUCUGGAGAGAGAGGCUUGCUGUGGGUUCCCAGAGAUGGGAGUUGUCUCCUCUGUAGAAUGACAGAUUUGACAUCAUGAUAGAGACACAGGCAUUGGAGAGAGACAAGGCAGAGAAUGAGGGCAGGAUCAUCUUCUCAGCUCACUUACUUCACAGGCAGUCAAGUAAUUUGGAAAGUAUUUAUCAGCCUCGACAUGAGCUGGGGAACAUCUCACUGGGGAGAGAUGAUGGUGGCCUGUCCUCCUGGCAGUCUCUGGCUGAACCAUCAUCUGUGAAGUGUAACCAACCAUACUUUUACUGAGUAGAUGCAAAAAGUGGCAUUUGUGUAUUACUGAACAAAG
This is a long non-coding RNA of Neopelma chrysocephalum (saffron-crested tyrant-manakin), 424 nucleotides long. RefSeq lists it as uncharacterized. The transcript has 3 exons. Lineage: Eukaryota; Metazoa; Chordata; Aves; Passeriformes; Pipridae. The record is from RefSeq and is a predicted model, not a curated record.